GCGGGGGUCGCAUAGUCUGGCCAUUGCGUUGGAUUGCUAAUCCAAUGGGAUUUAUCCCACGGGGGUUCAAAUCCCCCUCCCCGCG
Molecule: non-coding RNA, 85 nt
Organism: Marine Group III euryarchaeote CG-Epi1
Lineage: Archaea; Methanobacteriati; Thermoplasmatota; Thermoplasmata; Candidatus Thermoprofundales
Source: Rfam